Molecule: ribosomal RNA, 535 nt
Filed under: Streptococcus pneumoniae
Lineage: Bacteria; Bacillati; Bacillota; Bacilli; Lactobacillales; Streptococcaceae
Description: bacterial SSU rRNA
Rfam family: Bacterial small subunit ribosomal RNA
Source: RNAcentral
CGAACGCUGGCGGCGUGCCUAAUACAUGCAAGUCGAGCGCAGGAAAUCAUCCGAACCCUUCGGGGGGACGUUGAUGGAAUGAGCGGCGGACGGGUGAGUAACACGUAAAGAACCUGCCCUCAGGUCUGGGAUAACCACGAGAAAUCGGGGCUAAUACCGGAUGGGUCAUCGGACCGCAUGGUCCGAGGAUGAAAGGCGCUUCGGCGUCGCCUGGGGAUGGCUUUGCGGUGCAUUAGCUAGUUGGUGGGGUAAUGGCCCACCAAGGCGACGAUGCAUAGCCGACCUACGGGAGGCAGCAGUAGGGAAUCUUCCACAAUGGACGAAAGUCUGAUGGAGCAACGCCGCGUGAACGAUGAAGGCCUUCGGGUCGUAAAGUUCUGUUGUAAGGGAAGAACAAGUGCCGCAGGCAAUGGCGGCACCUUGACGGUACCUUGCGAGAAAGCCACGGCUAACUACGUGCCAGCAGCCGCGGUAAUACGUAGGUGGCAAGCGUUGUCCGGAAUUAUUGGGCGUAAAGCGCGCGCAGGCGGCCUCU